Molecule: non-coding RNA, 115 nt
Organism: Lupinus albus (white lupine)
Lineage: Eukaryota; Viridiplantae; Streptophyta; Magnoliopsida; Fabales; Fabaceae
Source: the annotation of a GenBank genome assembly
UGUCACGGAGUGCACAAAGCGAACUAUUCUUUCGCCUUUUACUAAAGAAUACCUUGUGUUUGGCACUUUAAGUGGCAUAUGCUUAUUUUUGGAGGUUUCCUUCUUUAGAAGGGAC